GACGGAAGGUGCAAGCGUUGCUCGGAAUCACUGGGCGUAAAGGGUGCGUAGGCGGCUUGGUAAGUUGGGUGUGAAAGCCCCGGGCUCAGCCCGGGAAGGGCACUCGAAACUGCCGAGCUGGAGUGCCGGAGGGGAGAGUGGAAUUCCUGGUGUAGCGGUGAAAUGCGUAGAUAUUAGGAGGAACACCUAUGGCGAAGGCAGGUCUCUGGGCUGACACUGACGCUCAUGCACGAAAGCGUGGGGAGCAAACAGG
This 253-nucleotide ribosomal RNA is filed under the name uncultured bacterium. Its description in RNAcentral is "partial 16S ribosomal RNA". It matches the Rfam family "Bacterial small subunit ribosomal RNA", at positions 524 to 776 of the family's 1533-position model. The record is from RNAcentral.